UCUAUGCACUGUCACUUCCGCGUUUUGUCUCAGUUGUACUGUAGCUUCCGGCGCAGCGCUUAUUGCACACUGUUUUAAUAAGCGCUGUCAGCAUGUCAUUUUACACUCGCUGCUUGCAAGAGCUUCCCCGGAUUACGGUGAACGACGUCAAUCGAGUUGUGAGGUUGGCAUCUGUCACUCCUUCUAGUAAAAAGGAGAAAUGAUUUAAAUGGUACAUUUCGAGUUACAUCGACAACUUUGAGGUUUCUAAUAAGGAUCAGAUCUAUGAGGAAGACAGAGAAGUCACAUAGAGAUGCAACUGUUCUUGUGUUGCUGGCACUGCACUGUGUAAUCACAUAGUUGCACUACUGUACCAGACAGCACAUUACUCUCAGCUUGGCAUCAGUGCAGUUCCUCCAGUGAGCAGCUGUACUGAAACUGAGCAGAGCUGGCACAAACCAAGAACAAUGGGAGUCCGGCCAGGUCCUGUCACUGGGAUGGUGGUUUUAUCUGCAAGACCUAAAGAGAGGAAACUUGCUGCUGGUGUAAAGUGGAUACUGCAAUCAACUAUAAAUGAAGAGUUUCGUUGCAAAACAAGAUAAAUCCACUUUUUAACAUUUUUGUCAAAAGAUGUUUAUUAUUAUGUUAUCAUGUUAUUAUUUUGUUUUAUGGUGCUACUUAGCUGUAAUUUUUAAGUUAUGAAGGUUUAAAUCAAAACAAACCAACUGCAGUUGCAUUGAAAUUAAUUGGAAUGCACAACCAAAAAACGAGAUUUCUGAACAAUUAAAAAACGG
This is a long non-coding RNA of Paramisgurnus dabryanus, 773 nucleotides long. RefSeq lists it as uncharacterized. NCBI's taxonomy places the organism in Eukaryota, Metazoa, Chordata, Actinopteri, Cypriniformes, Cobitidae. The record is from RefSeq and is a predicted model, not a curated record.